Molecule: ribosomal RNA, 377 nt
Filed under: uncultured eukaryote
Lineage: Eukaryota
Description: partial 18S ribosomal RNA
Rfam family: Eukaryotic small subunit ribosomal RNA
Source: RNAcentral
CAAUAGCGUAUAUUAAAGUUGUUGCAGUUAAAAAGCUCGUAGUUGGAUUUCGGGGCAGCCUGGCUGGUCCGCCGCAAGGCGAGUACUGGUCAGCCGCCCUUCCUCUCGAAAGCCCCGACUGCUCUUUAUUGCAGUGGUCGGGUAGUUCGGGACGUUUACUUUGAAAAAAUUAGAGUGUUCAAGGCAGGCCUACGCCUGAAUACAUUAGCAUGGAAUAAUGGAAGAGGACCUCGGUCCUAUUUUGUUGGUUUCCAGGACCGAAGUAAUGAUUAAGAGGGACAGUUGGGAGCAUUCGUAUUUAAUUGUCAGAGGUGAAAUUCUCGGAUUUAUGAAAGACGAACAACUGCGAAAGCAUUUGCCAAGGAUGUUUUCAUUAA